GCCCCGGUAGCUCAAUUGGAUAGAGCAUCAGAUUUCGAAUCUGAGGGUUACAGGUUCGAACCCUGUCCGAGGCACCA
RNAcentral lists this transfer RNA (77 nucleotides) under Kiritimatiellaceae bacterium. RNAcentral describes it as "tRNA-Arg". It matches the Rfam family "tRNA". From Rfam's summary of the family: Transfer RNA (tRNA) molecules are approximately 80 nucleotides in length. Their secondary structure includes four short double-helical elements and three loops (D, anti-codon, and T loops). Further hydrogen bonds mediate the characteristic L-shaped molecular structure. tRNAs have two regions of fundamental functional importance: the anti-codon, which is responsible for specific mRNA codon recognition, and the 3' end, to which the tRNAs corresponding amino acid is attached (by aminoacyl-tRNA synthetases). tRNAs cope with the degeneracy of the genetic code in two manners: having more than one tRNA (with a specific anti-codon) for a particular amino acid; and 'wobble' base-pairing, i.e. permitting non-standard base-pairing at the 3rd anti-codon position. Lineage: Bacteria; Pseudomonadati; Kiritimatiellota; Kiritimatiellia; Kiritimatiellales; Kiritimatiellaceae. The record is from RNAcentral.